CAGACCCCAGGGACACCAGACAUCCUUUCGUUCACUGAACAGGUACAACACAGGCAGUAGCGGUGCAAGCUUCUACACUUUGCUCACCAGUGUGCCUCAGCUCAGAACUGGAGGGGCUGCCUCUGUAGGCAAAAUGGCCUGUUUCCAUAGCUAUUCAAGCCUUGGCCUCU
RNAcentral lists this small RNA (170 nucleotides) under Chrysemys picta bellii (western painted turtle). RNAcentral describes it as "TUC338 (ENSCPBG00000015726.1)". Lineage: Eukaryota; Metazoa; Chordata; Testudines; Emydidae. The record is from RNAcentral.